GUUUGCAUAAGAUUACCACUAAAGACAAGGUUUAUAACGAAUGUGUCAAGCAAAUUUUCCACUUUGAUGAAGACGGUGACGGAACUAUCAAGAAAAAUAUUUUGAAAAGUAUGGGGAGGUCUUGGAAGGAAACAAGGCUGAGGUUGUAUAAUGAUUUUUACAAGCCAAUAUUCACGAUUGAACAAAAUAUUGAGCAUCGUCCACUGAAAAUUGAUCGAGAGCAUUGGAGAUCGUUCCUUGACUAUCGCGCCAAAGAUGAGACGAAGGAGAAGUGCAGGAAAAAUGCGAUUAAUCGAUCAAAACUAUAUACCCACACUGGUUGUUCAAAAAGCUUCGCACGGCGGAUAAAAGAAGAGUCGGAAUAACAAGGGAGGACAGUCGGAAGAGGAGAGUUAUGGAUCAAAGUGCACAAAAAAAAGUUGGCUCCUAUAUCAAUGAUGAAGUAAGAGCAAUUGGUGAAAGACUUUAGGAGAUUGAGCAACAGGAUGAGUCUUCUAGAGUAUUGUCUCAAAAUGGUUCCAUUGCUCAGAUUUUCGGAAAAGAGAAACCAAGUAGAGUACGUGGUGUGGGUUUCAGACUGACUCCUAGUCAACUCUUUGGUCCGAAUUCACAUACACCGGGCACCGGAGUCCAAUUAGAGGAGAUGCAGAGGAAGCUUAUUGAACUGCAGGAAGAGCUGGAAGGCGAAAAGUUGAAGAAGAAGGCGAUGGAGGAUGAGGCAGCAGCAGGGAAGAAAAAGAUGAAGCCGAUGGAGAGUGCUCUGAUUUUUCUAUUUCAAUGGCAGGGUAAGGAGCUACCACCAGACAUCACUACAGGGAUGAGUUUUGUAGAAUGAUAGAGUGAAAAAUAGUAGAAUAGGAUUGGAGAUAGUUUGGAUAGAAGCAAACAUUUUUUUAAAUUAGACUUUGCAACUCUUUGCAAGAGAUUUGUUUUCUUCGU
Molecule: non-coding RNA, 939 nt
Organism: Arachis ipaensis
Lineage: Eukaryota; Viridiplantae; Streptophyta; Magnoliopsida; Fabales; Fabaceae
Source: RefSeq, a predicted model, not a curated record